RNAcentral lists this ribosomal RNA (710 nucleotides) under uncultured beta proteobacterium. Its description in RNAcentral is "bacterial SSU rRNA". It matches the Rfam family "Bacterial small subunit ribosomal RNA", at positions 56 to 759 of the family's 1533-position model. The record is from RNAcentral. Lineage: Bacteria; Pseudomonadati; Pseudomonadota; Betaproteobacteria.
UGCAAGUCGAGCGGCAGCGCGGGGCAACCUGGCGGCGAGCGGCGAACGGGUGAGUAACGCAUCGGAACAUGUCCAUUCGUGGGGGAUAGCCCGGCGAAAGCCGGAUUAAUACCGCAUACGCCCUGAGGGGGAAAACGGGGGACUUCGCAAGAGGCCUCGCGCGAAUGGGUUGGCCGAUGUCCGAUUAGCUAGUUGGUGGGGUAAAGGCUUACCAAGGCGAUGAUCGGUAGCUGGUCUGAGAGGAUGAUCAGCCACACUGGGACUGAGACACGGCCCAGACUCCUACGGGAGGCAGCAGUGGGGAAUUUUGGACAAUGGGGGAAACCCUGAUCCAGCCAUUCCGCGUGAGUGAAGAAGGCCUUCGGGUUGUAAAGCUCUUUUGUCCGGAGCGAAACGGUUAGCGUGAAUAUCGCUGACUACUGACGGUACCGGGAGAAUAAGCACCGGCUAACUACGUGCCAGCAGCCGCGGUAAUACGUAGGGUGCGAGCGUUAAUCGGAAUUACUGGGCGUAAAGCGUGCGCAGGCGGUUUUGUAAGCCAGAUGUGAAAGCCCCGGGCUUAACCUGGGAAUGGCAUUUGGGACUGCAAGGCUUGAGUGCGGCAGAGGAGACUGGAAUUCCUGGUGUAGCAGUGAAAUGCGUAGAUAUCAGGAGGAAUACCGAUGGCGAAGGCAGGUCUCUGGGCUGACACUGACGCUCAUGCACGAAAG